Molecule: long non-coding RNA, 502 nt
Organism: Gavialis gangeticus (Gharial)
Lineage: Eukaryota; Metazoa; Chordata; Crocodylia; Gavialidae
Exons: 5
Source: RefSeq, a predicted model, not a curated record
GUCCUCUGUGCAUCCUGAUACUGGUGAUGUAAUUACGUUUCUAUUUAGACCACCAGUCCUCCUGCCUAUAACUUUUCUACUGGUGUUAUGGCUGCAAUGAAUGCAAGUUCUGUCAGAAAGACCAGGAUGGACAAAGGAAUUGAAGUGCUGGACAAAAAUGGCAAAGUAGUAGGAGUGUCAUGGAAAGCUGGAGACAAGUAAAAGAAACAGCACUAUCCAGAGGAGUCUUGCUUGGGACAGCACUAAUUUCCCAAAGUCAUUCUACACUUUAUAAAAUGCUUCCCACCUCUGCAAUGAAUGAAGCAAAGGUUCCUACAGUCAAGUCUGAAUCACUAUGCAACGCUAAAUCAGUCCCAGAGUAAGUCAACCCCGGGCACUAAAUGAACAAAGAAUGUGGAAAGACAAUAUGGGAUGAUGCAAUUACAGAUUGCAUGAUACAACAUGCACCAGGAGUCCAAAUGAAGGCUACCUCUGCUAAAUUCAUUCUGGAGAUACCCAACUU